UUUUGGUUGUAGCUUUUGUUAUUAGCUUUCCAACAAGAUAAGGCUCGCUCCAUUUGAAGUUAAACUGAAUUUUUGGUGAAAUUUUGAGUGUGAGGGGGUCGAGUGCCUUUGCAGUUUGGAUUAAUCGAGUUUGGGAAGGCAUUUCUCAGUGCCUGAUAACUGGAUUCGUUUGAAAUUAUGGGAGCAUCAAGAUUUGUAAGCUAAGCUUUGAAGGGCAUAAGUUUCGCUGGAUUUAAAGACAAUUUGAAUUUUUAGCGAAUUUCUAAGUGAAUGGGGUUGGUAGCCGCGGCAGUUUGGAUCA
Molecule: long non-coding RNA, 301 nt
Filed under: Physcomitrium patens
Lineage: Eukaryota; Viridiplantae; Streptophyta; Bryopsida; Funariales; Funariaceae
Description: long non-coding RNA (PPAT_LNC007247)
Source: RNAcentral